Molecule: long non-coding RNA, 293 nt
Organism: Hyla sarda
Lineage: Eukaryota; Metazoa; Chordata; Amphibia; Anura; Hylidae
Exons: 3
Source: RefSeq, a predicted model, not a curated record
ACUGUGGAUUAAGGAAGACGUGGGCCCUGCUGUGCUCCGGAGAAGAUCCCUGCGUGGGAUACAUACAGAGCCAAUGUGUACGUGCCCUAGGAGGCAGGAAUGCACGAGCCGGCAAGCAGAAAGCACAGGGGGAUGACAAGGAAGGUUUCGGACAAAAAUGUCGGGUUACGCCCCUGGAAAGUGCUGGGUCACGCCCCUUAUUGGAGAAGCCACGUCCCUUGUAGGGAAUUCUAAGGCGUGCGCCUAAAAAUUUUACCAAGAACCCGAUAACAAGUGUCGGUUUCAGCAUAGUA